CUGGGUCAUCGGACACAUUUUUUAAACUAUAAACCACAAUGAUAAUUGUCGCCAAGUUUGAUUAAAUUUGGCAAAGUAGUUUUAGAGAAGAAGAUUUUUAGAAAAGUUACAAAAAAUGAUAAAAAGUUGAUAAAAAUUGACUAUAAAGGGCAAUAACUCCUUAAGGGGUCGACUGGCAAUUUUGGUCAUGUUGACUUAUUUGUAGGUCUUACUCUGCUGAACAUUAUUGCUGUUUACAG
RNAcentral lists this long non-coding RNA (239 nucleotides) under Mytilus galloprovincialis (Mediterranean mussel). The record is from RNAcentral. Lineage: Eukaryota; Metazoa; Mollusca; Bivalvia; Mytilida; Mytilidae.